UGCCAGCCGCCGCGGUAACACGGGGGGCGCAAGCGUUAUUCGGAAUUAUUGGGCGUAAAGGGCGCGCAGGCGGACCGUUAAGUCUGAUGUGAAAGCCCGGGGCUCAACCCCGGAAGUGCAUUGGAUACUGGCAGUCUUGAGUAUGGGAGAGGAAAGUGGAAUACCGAGUGUAGGAGUGAAAUCCGUAGAUAUUCGGAGGAACACCAGUGGCGAAGGCGGCUUUCUGGACCAAUACUGACGCUGAGAUGCGAAAGCGUGGGGAGCGUACAGGAUUAGAUA
Molecule: ribosomal RNA, 279 nt
Filed under: uncultured bacterium
Lineage: Bacteria
Description: partial 16S ribosomal RNA
Rfam family: Bacterial small subunit ribosomal RNA
Source: RNAcentral